UGACUGAAGUGGAGAAGGGUUCCGUGUGAACAGUGGUUGAUCACGGGUUAGUCGGUCCUAAGCUCUAAGCGAAAGCUGAUAUUAAAUAUAUAAGUCAUUCAUAAAUACAUAUAUGUUGACUUUAUAUUGAGCGAAAGGGAAUACGGUUCCAAUUCCGUAACCUAUUGAGUAUACGUUUAUUGUGGGUCCUAUAUAUUAUAUUUUAUAUAUUUUAUAUAGGUUUAAAGCUCAUCCUGGUAACAGAAGCUACCAUAGAGAAGCCGUCGAAGCAUACCGGAAGAGUUAUCUUUUCUGUUUCAUAACUGUAUUACCAUGGAAGUCUUUCGAAGAGAGAUAUGGUAAAUGAGUUAGAAGAGCAUGGCGUUUAUUGCUGUGUCGGGUAUGUAUUCCUCGGACCUUGAAAAUCUAUGGUAGGGCCACGUAAACAUUCUCAAUAGACCGUACCAAUAUCCGCAGCAGGUCUCCAAGGUUAAGAGUCUCUAGUCGAUAGAAUAAUGUAGGUAAGGGAAGUCGGCAAAUUAGAUCCGUAACUUCGGGAUAAGGAUUGGCUCUGAAGAUUGCGAUGUGUCGGGCUUGUUUGGGAAGUAUAUUAAUGUAUUGCUAAAAUAUCUGACUAGUUGGUAACGAUGAAAAGAUAUGAUUAAGCAAUACGAAAUACGGAACUCUCAAGCUAUGCUAUAUACAUAAAAGGGAAAAUAUUGGCGAAAGUUGAUAUUUUCUUGUAUAUAGAUUAUCAACGACCAUCAACAAACAAUCAGU
RNAcentral lists this ribosomal RNA (759 nucleotides) under Sergentomyia christophersi. RNAcentral describes it as "eukaryotic LSU rRNA". It matches the Rfam family "Eukaryotic large subunit ribosomal RNA", at positions 1488 to 2107 of the family's 3401-position model. The record is from RNAcentral. Lineage: Eukaryota; Metazoa; Arthropoda; Insecta; Diptera; Psychodidae.